RNAcentral lists this unclassified non-coding RNA (376 nucleotides) under soil metagenome. RNAcentral's name for it is "partial contains 5.8S ribosomal RNA, internal transcribed spacer 2, and large subunit ribosomal RNA". The stretch from base 1 to 120 matches the Rfam family "5.8S ribosomal RNA", at positions 35 to 154 of the family's 154-position model. The record is from RNAcentral.
GAUGAAGAACGCAGCGAAAUGCGAUAAGUAAUGUGAAUUGCAGAAUUCAGUGAAUCAUCGAAUCUUUGAACGCAUCUUGCGCUCCUUGGUAUUCUGAGGAGCAUGCCUGUUUGAGUGUCAUUAAAUUCUCAACUACACUGACUUUGAAUUGGUGUGGCUUGGAUUUGGGGGGAAAAUUGUUGUGGGCUUUUUGUAUAGUCUGCUCCCCUGAAAUUGAUUAGCGGUACCUUUGUGGAACUGUCUACAGGUGUGAUAAUUAUCUACAUCUUAGACAUCUGCUGGAAUGCUGCUUUCUAACCCUUACUUGUAUUGACAAUCUUGACCUCAAAUCAGGUAGGACUACCCGCUGAACUUAAGCAUAUCAAUAAGCGGAGGA